RNAcentral lists this small RNA (79 nucleotides) under Bradyrhizobium ivorense. RNAcentral describes it as "Makes More Granules Regulator RNA (mmgR)". It matches the Rfam family "Makes More Granules Regulator RNA (mmgR)". Rfam says of the family: SuhB later renamed mmgR (makes more granules regulator) was a putative non-coding RNA found multiple times in the Agrobacterium tumefaciens genome and related alpha-proteobacteria. Other non-coding RNAs uncovered in the same analysis include: speF, ybhL, metA, and serC. The record is from Rfam by way of RNAcentral. Lineage: Bacteria; Pseudomonadati; Pseudomonadota; Alphaproteobacteria; Hyphomicrobiales; Nitrobacteraceae.
UGUCGCGGCCCUCCUUGAGGGCGUUUCCUCCCUAGACUUGGGCCGCUUGUUCGUUCGAGCGGCCCUUUUUCUUUGACCA